UAGGGAAUCUUCGGCAAUGGACGAAAGUCUGACCGAGCAACGCCGCGUGAGUGAAGAAGGUUUUCGGAUCGUAAAACUCUGUUGUUAGAGAAGAACAAGGGUGAGAGUAACUGUUCAUACGUUGACGGUAUUUAACCAGAAAGUCACGGCUAACUACGCGCCAG
Molecule: ribosomal RNA, 164 nt
Filed under: uncultured bacterium
Lineage: Bacteria
Description: partial 16S rRNA
Rfam family: Bacterial small subunit ribosomal RNA
Source: RNAcentral